Non-coding RNA from Physcomitrium patens, 820 nucleotides. The record is from RefSeq and is a predicted model, not a curated record. Lineage: Eukaryota; Viridiplantae; Streptophyta; Bryopsida; Funariales; Funariaceae.
CAGUCAUUCUCUCAUUUCCCCUGCUUAUAGUCUGAGACCACUCCCUGCCACUCCAGUGUCUUUCUUGCCGAAGUGCAGAGUAACUUGUUCGGUAGAGUUCUCGGACCCCUUAUCGUAGUACACAUGUGAGUGUGGCAUGUCAGUUUUCCUUCUUGCUGUUGUCUUCGAGUCGUCCACUGGUAGAGGUUUACUGAGGGUUUUUUCUAUGUGCCUCUGUGUCUAUUUCUCUCUAUUGUUACGAACUGAGACUCUUAUCUUCGAAGUCGGUGUGAUGACCGAAAGUGCCAAAACAGUUAUCCCUGUCCGAAAAAUCGUGUGGAUACAUCACAGCUGUGUAUUUCAGUACGGAGAUUGACAACUAAGGUGAGACCAGUAUUUACAUAGCGGCCCAUAUUCUGAGAUUGGGUAAAUCUCAUUGGUGAUGAAAAAUACUAUCUCCACAAAUCGCGAAAUCUUGUGAAAGCUUCCUGCCCUUCGAAACGGCAUUAGAAUUUGUACCUUGGUGAGUUUACUGUUAAUGAAAUGACAGGAAAGUAAUGUCUCAAAUUCGAAAUUGCUGUCAGUAUUUUUGCUGAUCUAAAUACCAGCAAGUUAGAUUGAUAUCUACACUUAUUUACAAUGUAAACAUGCUCUGAGAGAAAAAUUUGUGUACCAUGACUUAUUAAAUGAACAUUCCACUGGUUUUCAUUAUAUAUAUAUAUAUAUAUAUAGAUAUCCGUAGAUUUGCAGGUUCUCAUGGCAUAUUCAUGUGACGUUUUAGAUAUGGAUAACCACCUCUUUUAUGUAAAGAGUCUCUGCAAGAAACAUUCCUUCGACAAAA